This is a non-coding RNA of Lolium perenne, 2230 nucleotides long. The record is from RefSeq and is a predicted model, not a curated record. Lineage: Eukaryota; Viridiplantae; Streptophyta; Magnoliopsida; Poales; Poaceae.
UCCAUCCAUGAUUUAUGGUUCCCUCCGCCGCCGCCACUCCCUGCCAUCUCCUGUCUUCCGAUCCCAUCCCCAACCCCGCCGCCCGCCGCCCGCCGCCACCUGAUCACCCGGUCAUGCCCGCACUCGCCCUCCUCCGCCUCCACGGCGGCGUCAUCCUACUUCGCCGGUAGGAUCCCGCUGUCCAACACCUUCUUGCACCCGCUCUCGACUUCCUCCCGGUCCUCAACACGAGGGCAAUGACAAGGAGGACACCAUCUCAGCGGCGGCGGCCGCGUCGUGGGUGGAGAGGUGGCUCCCGGAGGCGGCGCGCCCGUACGCAUGUGGUUGAGCGCACCAAAAGCAGGCCGUUUGCAUCAGGUGCUCUAACCCUUCUCAACCGAGUGUGUUCCUUGGAUCUCAGCUACUGCUGGGAUUGGGCAUUCUUCUCGAGCUGAACGACUUUAGGUCGGAAGCAGAGCUCAAAUAGGCGUAUGGUUGUAAAAGUGAUGUAUUAGGAUGUAUUUGCUCUAUGAAAAGGCAAAGUUCAGAAUCCUCAGUUCUAUUUUGGUCAAAUUAAUAGCCAGAUAAACAUAGCCGCAUCUGCGCCAAUCAGACCCUCCUUGCACCACGCCCUGUGGUGAUCUACAUGUCUUCCGCAGCGACACGCAUGAUCCACCUUUGGAGAAACUCUACUGGUUUGCUUUUUUGCUUUUUGAGAAAGUGAAUGUGAACACGUGUUGGAUGAUGACCACACAACCUAUAACUCUCCGUUGUAGCGAGAUGGAUCACCCUUGCAUCCAACACCGCACUUGGGUUAUCAAGGUUAUUGAACAUCCAGAGGACCUAGACGAUAUUCUGCUUUGAGAUCGAUUACGUGUCAAGCACAAUUGCAGCGAUGCUGAGGGAGCUCCCUGAUUUGAAAAUGCUGGCACUCUCCAGAUGUGGAGCUGUCCUCCGCAGGGGCGCUGGUUGCACAGUGAAUGAUAUUCUAGAUCCUGACAUUGAUAACAAGGUUGAGCGCACCAAAAGCAGGCCGUUUGCAUCAGGUGCUCUAACCCCUUCUCAACCGAGUGUGUUCCUUGGAUCUCAGCUACUGCUGGGAUUGGGCAUUCUUCUCCAGCUGAACGACUCUAGGUCGGAAGCAGAGCUCAGAUAGGCGUAUGGUUGUAAAAGUGAUGUAUUAGGUUGUAUUUGCUCUAUGACAAGGCAAAGUUCAGAAUCCUCAGUUCUAUUUUGGUCAAAUUAAUAGCCAGAUAAACAUAGCCGCAUCUGCGCCAAAGAUUGCAACAGUGCGCAAGCGGAAUCAGGUUAUCUCUUGGGCAUUUUCUUGGCGUUGUUAAACAUCCUGGUACUGAUGAUAAGCAAGCAAACAAGGAAAGCAUUGUUGUAGUGCACUUAUGUGGUUACCAGCAGCGGCAGUCCUCUAGAACCAAAAUUCACGAGUCAGCCUAACGCUGAAUACAUGGGAAUGUGGUAGAUUGUCGGUCUUCCCAUUCAUUUUUCGCACCUAUAGCUCAGAGCCGCUGGGUAAUAAAGCAGUAGAUGAAUGUACCAAUAAAGCAGUGGUGCACCUUAAAAUUGGUGACAAUCAAGUAACAACUAUAUUUAAAAGUUCAUAAAAUUCUGAGAAAUAUAUGAUAUUUUGGGAGGAACAAUAAAUGGCGAUAAACAAUACAACAUCACUAAUCAUGCGUAAUUUUUUUCUGUAUCCAUGAAUGUGAGUUUGAACUAUCAGUUUCACGUGAUUAUGGAAUGUCUUCCUAACGCAUUUUUUAUUUUGGUUUUUGAAAAAUAAAACUAGAUGUGGUUUCCACACAACAAAAGUUUGUGUAACCUGUUUUCCACCUGAUAAGUUCUCAAAGGUACUUUUGGAUAACAAGUUUAAACUAUUCUGGUGACAAUGCUUCUUAUUUGUAUGAUGAUGUGUAUUGAUGUCUAGAGCAUUAUAAAAUGUCAAUAUGGUGAUUUUGUAGAUGACUAUGAGGAUGAAAAUAGCCUUGCUGAGGAUCAUAGGAACAAGUCUACAUUAUGAUGCCCAUACAAUUUUUGGUGGAGAUAAACUUCUUAGCAUUUCAAAUACUACUACUUUGGAUUUCAAAUGGUACUAGUUUGGAUCUCUAAUUUUGGGUUAAUGUUUGCAGAAAUACAUACUAUGAGAGAACAAGUUUCAUGUUAUCCAGAUAUUACUAUUCAAAACAUAUAUCUGAUAUGUUUUCAUGAAUAUAUGGUAUGAGAGAACAAGUUCACUACA